This 283-nucleotide ribosomal RNA is filed under the name uncultured Synechococcus sp. RNAcentral describes it as "partial 16S ribosomal RNA". It matches the Rfam family "Bacterial small subunit ribosomal RNA", at positions 1253 to 1533 of the family's 1533-position model. The record is from RNAcentral. Lineage: Bacteria; Bacillati; Cyanobacteriota; Cyanophyceae; Synechococcales; Synechococcaceae.
ACUCGCGAGAGCUAGCAAUCCCAUAAACCGUGGCUCAGUUCAGAUCGUAGGCUGCAACUCGCCUACGUGAAGGAGGAAUCGCUAGUAAUCGCAGGUCAGCAUACUGCGGUGAAUACGUUCCCGGGCCUUGUACACACCGCCCGUCACACCAUGGAAGUUGGCCGCGCCCGAAGCCGUUACUCCAACCCUUGUGGAGGAGGACGUCGAAGGUGGGGCUGAUGACUGGGGUGAAGUCGUAACAAGGUAGCCGUACCGGAAGGUGCGGCUGGAUCACCUCCUAACA